This 487-nucleotide long non-coding RNA is filed under the name Homo sapiens (human). RNAcentral describes it as "non-protein coding lnc-KCTD6-1:8". Lineage: Eukaryota; Metazoa; Chordata; Mammalia; Primates; Hominidae. The record is from RNAcentral.
GGCGUGUGGGUGGCCGUGCCCCUCUGCCUGGAGCCGCCUCAAAUCAACUUUAUUGACAGUAGGCGGUGACCGACAGGCGGGGUGCACGCUGGGCACACGUGCCUGGUCGGUGUUACUUGAAGCGUGGGGACUAGAAGUCAGACCCUGAGGAGCAUGAUCUCUGGAAGCUGGAGAGACCUUAAGAGUUAGGCCAACCUGUUGUGGGUGCUGGAAUCCUUUGGGCACCAAGAAGUGCUUGCACACGCUCUACUGAUGGGGAACUUAACACUUCAUGAGUGAGUCUAGUCUUCCCUGGACAGUGCUGUCUGUUGAUUCCUUAUAAUGCACAUCAUAGCUUUCAUUGAUUGCAUUAAGCACCUACUGUGAGCCAAGCAUUGAGAUAUGUGCUGUAUAGCUCAUUCUCACAGUACCCCACUUGGGUAAUUAGUGUUAUUAUUAUCUCCAUUUUGAAGACGGUUAAACUGAAGCAGAAAUUGAUUAAAUGAGC